This 1597-nucleotide ribosomal RNA is filed under the name Salmonella enterica. Its description in RNAcentral is "partial 23S ribosomal RNA". It matches the Rfam family "Bacterial large subunit ribosomal RNA", at positions 1292 to 2867 of the family's 2925-position model. RNAcentral also lists the same sequence under 1 other name. The record is from RNAcentral. Lineage: Bacteria; Pseudomonadati; Pseudomonadota; Gammaproteobacteria; Enterobacterales; Enterobacteriaceae.
GAAUGCUGACAUAAGUAACGAUAAAGCGGGUGAAAAGCCCGCUCGCCGGAAGACCAAGGGUUCCUGUCCAACGUUAAUCGGGGCAGGGUGAGUCGACCCCUAAGGCGAGGCCGAAAGGCGUAGUCGAUGGGAAACGGGUUAAUAUUCCCGUACUUGGUGUUACUGCGAAGGGGGGACGGAGAAGGCUAUGUUGGCCGGGCGACGGUUGUCCCGGUUUAAGCGUGUAGGUGUGUGUUCCAGGUAAAUCCGGUUCACUUUAACACUGAGGCGUGACGACGAGGCACUACGGUGCUGAAGCAACAAAUGCCCUGCUUCCAGGAAAAGCCUCUAAGCAUCAGGUAACAUCAAAUCGUACCCCAAACCGACACAGGUGGUCAGGUAGAGAAUACCAAGGCGCUUGAGAGAACUCGGGUGAAGGAACUAGGCAAAAUGGUGCCGUAACUUCGGGAGAAGGCACGCUGACACGUAGGUGAAGUGAUUUACUCAUGGAGCUGAAGUCAGUCGAAGAUACCAGCUGGCUGCAACUGUUUAUUAAAAACACAGCACUGUGCAAACACGAAAGUGGACGUAUACGGUGUGACGCCUGCCCGGUGCCGGAAGGUUAAUUGAUGGGGUCAGCGCAAGCGAAGCUCCUGAUCGAAGCCCCGGUAAACGGCGGCCGUAACUAUAACGGUCCUAAGGUAGCGAAAUUCCUUGUCGGGUAAGUUCCGACCUGCACGAAUGGCGUAAUGAUGGCCAGGCUGUCUCCACCCGAGACUCAGUGAAAUUGAACUCGCUGUGAAGAUGCAGUGUACCCGCGGCAAGACGGAAAGACCCCGUGAACCUUUACUAUAGCUUGACACUGAACAUUGAGCCUUGAUGUGUAGGAUAGGUGGGAGGCUUUGAAGUGUGGACGCCAGUCUGCAUGGAGCCGACCUUGAAAUACCACCCUUUAAUGUUUGAUGUUCUAACGUGGACCCGUUACCCGGGUUGCGGACAGUGUCUGGUGGGUAGUUUGACUGGGGCGGUCUCCUCCUAAAGAGUAACGGAGGAGCACGAAGGUUGGCUAAUCCUGGUCGGACAUCAGGAGGUUAGUGCAAUGGCAUAAGCCAGCUUGACUGCGAGCGUGACGGCGCGAGCAGGUGCGAAAGCAGGUCAUAGUGAUCCGGUGGUUCUGAAUGGAAGGGCCAUCGCUCAACGGAUAAAAGGUACUCCGGGGAUAACAGGCUGAUACCGCCCAAGAGUUCAUAUCGACGGCGGUGUUUGGCACCUCGAUGUCGGCUCAUCACAUCCUGGGGCUGAAGUAGGUCCCAAGGGUAUGGCUGUUCGCCAUUUAAAGUGGUACGCGAGCUGGGUUUAGAACGUCGUGAGACAGUUCGGUCCCUAUCUGCCGUGGGCGCUGGAGAACUGAGGGGGGCUGCUCCUAGUACGAGAGGACCGGAGUGGACGCAUCACUGGUGUUCGGGUUGUCAUGCCAAUGGCACUGCCCGGUAGCUAAAUGCGGAAGAGAUAAGUGCUGAAAGCAUCUAAGCACGAAACUUGCCCCGAGAUGAGUUCUCCCUGAGACUUAAAGUCUCCUGAAGGAACGUUGAAGACGACGACGUUGAUAGGCCGGGUG